Molecule: long non-coding RNA, 196 nt
Organism: Haliotis rubra (blacklip abalone)
Lineage: Eukaryota; Metazoa; Mollusca; Gastropoda; Lepetellida; Haliotidae
Exons: 3
Source: RefSeq, a predicted model, not a curated record
UGGGCUGGAGAGUUCCAGCUGGCAGACCAGACUGUUCUGGGAGACUGGACAAUCAAAGUCCAACCAAGGGAUGAAGUCAUCAUGACAUCUAAAAGCUUUACAGUUGCUGAGUACCAACUGCCUCGUUUUGAAGUAAAGGUGGACCUUCCUUCGUUUGCUCUGACAUCUGACAAGAUGUUGUCUGGCACAGUGACGG